UGUCGAGUAGUUGCUCGUGCUUUAUUUAUUUUGAACUGUCGUUGAAUUUCAUGUUGUCGUUGUUGUUGUUACUUAUAUUUAUUAUUUAGCAUUUCAUACCUUAUUUAUUUUCUGUUUGUAUUUUAUUUUGUUUUUGCUUGAGUUUUUCCAUGCUCAUCUACAACGACAACAACGAUUGCGGCAACAAUAACAACCAGAAACAGUAUGUACCUACCUACUAUUUUGUUCAGUGUGAUCGAAUAUAUUAAAUACUCUACACAUUGAAAACACGGUAAUGUGGACAAUCAAUAUCGAACUAUCAAAUAACACGAAGGGCAUUAGGGAAGUUACGGAAUAGCAAAAGCAGUUCAUAAAAAAAGAGUAAUCAACUAAUUUAGAUUAAAAAUAACAAAGUCUGUGACAAGUCUACCUAUACCACCUCCAACACCUUUUUAUGGAGAGUGGAAUAAAAACUAAACAGAAUAAAUAAUAAAAAAUAGCAACAAUGUGUGUUGUGUAGUGAGUUGGUGUCGUGUCGCAUCGUCAUCAUCUAUCCAUUGUCGUCGUGACUGAUCGUUGUUGCCGCCUCUGUCGUCGUCUUCGAUUGUUGUCAAAUAAACCGCAAACACAAAAAAACCUUUAGCAAUUGUCGUGCUCUUAUUUUCUUGUUUCUCUAACAUGUGGUAUGCUCCGUUUCGACACUCACCUUACCUCUCGUCUCGCGCCCUCAUCAAAUAAACAGUAAAAUGUUUGUGUGCUUUUGGUGGUAUCGCCAUCACUGGAAAUUGUAGUACAAUAUUCAUGAGCAACAAAAUAAUAAAUGGCAACAACAACAGCAACAAUUGAAUUUAUGUAAAACGUACGAAAAUGGAAAAAAAAGAAAGCUGUCGAUUGCAUUUACAGUCACAUCUCUAACUAAAGACAAAAUACUGUAACAAUUGAUGCAGAUUGAUCGAUCAAUUGUAAAAAUUUAACAAAUUACUCUUUCUAAUAUUGAGCAAAACACAAAAUAAAUAGUUGUAGAGUUGCCAGAAAUCGAAAGGAUUUUAUCCUGAGGAAUUAAAAAAAACUCGUUAGUUUAGUAAUUAUUUAUUCAUCUUCCUCUUCAUAUGUAUACAUAUUUUAUGUAUAUUCACAAAAAUAAAUACAUAUCUCUGCAUCCA
Long non-coding RNA from Lucilia sericata (common green bottle fly), 1142 nucleotides. RefSeq lists it as uncharacterized. Lineage: Eukaryota; Metazoa; Arthropoda; Insecta; Diptera; Calliphoridae. The record is from RefSeq and is a predicted model, not a curated record. The transcript has 2 exons.